This 450-nucleotide ribosomal RNA is filed under the name uncultured bacterium. RNAcentral's name for it is "bacterial SSU rRNA". It matches the Rfam family "Bacterial small subunit ribosomal RNA", at positions 43 to 524 of the family's 1533-position model. The record is from RNAcentral.
CAGGCCUAACACAUGCAAGUCGAGCGGGCAUCUUCGGAUGUCAGCGGCGGACGGGUGAGUAACGCGUGGGAACGUGCCCUCUGGUUCGGAACAACUCCUGGAAACGGGAGCUAAUACCGGAUACGCCUUGCGGCUUUGUGCCGUGAGGGAAAGGCUUGCUGCCGGAGGAUCGGCCCGCGUCUGAUUAGCUAGUUGGUGGGGUAACGGCCUACCAAGGCGACGAUCAGUAGCUGGUCUGAGAGGAUGAUCAGCCACACUGGGACUGAGACACGGCCCAGACUCCUACGGGAGGCAGCAGUGGGGAAUAUUGGACACUGGGCGCAAGCCUGAUCCAGCCAUGCCGCGUGAGUGAUGAAGGCCUUAGGGUUGUAAAGCUCUUUUAUCCGGGACGAUAAUGACGGUACCGGAGGAAUAAGCCCCGGCUAACUUCGUGCCAGCAGCCGCGGUAAU